AGAAAGUGUACCUAGGGUUCCACGCCGGCUUACCGGCGGCUCGGUCCAAGCGGUACAGGCAGCGCAGCAACAGCGCGGCUACACCGGUCGGGAUAAAAGCCCAGGCGGG
This 109-nucleotide small RNA is filed under the name Peptococcaceae bacterium. Its description in RNAcentral is "Guanidine-I sequence". It matches the Rfam family "Guanidine-I riboswitch aptamer". Rfam says of the family: This family represents a conserved RNA structure found upstream of the ykkC and yxkD genes in Bacillus subtilis and related genes in other bacteria. The function of this family is unclear although it has been suggested that it may function to switch on efflux pumps and detoxification systems in response to harmful environmental molecules. The record is from RNAcentral. Lineage: Bacteria; Bacillati; Bacillota; Clostridia; Eubacteriales; Peptococcaceae.